GAAUCUUGCGCAAUGGGCGAAAGCCUGCCGCAGCCAUGCCGCGUGAAUGAUGAAGGUCUUAGUAUUGUAAAAUUCUUUCACCGGGGACGAUAAUGACGGUACCCGGCGAAGAAGCCCCGGCUACCUUCGUCCCAGCCGCCGCGGUAAUACGAAGGGGGCUACCGUUGCUCGGAAUUACUGGGCGGAAAGGGCGCGUAGGCGGAGCGUUAAGUCAGAGGUGAAAUCCCAGGGCUCAACCCUGGAACUGCCUUUGAUACUGGCGAUCUUGAGUAUGAGGGAGGUAUGUGGAACUCCGAGUGUAGAGGUGAAAUUCGUAGAUAUUCGGAAGAACACCAGUGGCGAAGGCGACAUACUGGCUCAUUACUGACGCUGAGGCGCGAAAGCGUGGGGAGCAAACA
RNAcentral lists this ribosomal RNA (398 nucleotides) under uncultured bacterium. RNAcentral describes it as "partial 16S ribosomal RNA". It matches the Rfam family "Bacterial small subunit ribosomal RNA", at positions 359 to 774 of the family's 1533-position model. The record is from RNAcentral.